GCCUGGGUGGCUUAGUGGUAGAGCACCUGACUUUGGCUCAGGGUGUAAUCCUGGGGUCCCAGGAU
This 65-nucleotide transfer RNA is filed under the name Canis lupus familiaris (dog). Lineage: Eukaryota; Metazoa; Chordata; Mammalia; Carnivora; Canidae. RNAcentral also lists the same sequence under 1 other name. The record is from Rfam by way of RNAcentral.